This 300-nucleotide ribosomal RNA is filed under the name uncultured Lactobacillus sp. Its description in RNAcentral is "bacterial SSU rRNA". The stretch from base 52 to 300 matches the Rfam family "Bacterial small subunit ribosomal RNA", at positions 547 to 795 of the family's 1533-position model. The record is from RNAcentral. Lineage: Bacteria; Bacillati; Bacillota; Bacilli; Lactobacillales; Lactobacillaceae.
GGUACCGAGGUGCAGGGAGCGGGGGAGAUGCGGAGGGGGGAUGCGGUGGUCGGAUUGAUUGGGCGUAAAGAGCGUGGAUGCGGCCAGGUAGGUGGGUUGUGAAAACUGGAGGCUCAACCGUCAGACGUCGACCCAAACCCCCUGGCUAGAGUCCGGAAGAGGAGAGUGGAAUUCCUGGUGUAGCGGUGAAAUGCGCAGAUAUCAGGAAGAACACCCGUGGCGAAGGCGGCUCUCUGGGACGGUACUGACGCUGAGACGCGAAAGCGUGGGGAGCGAACAGGAUUAGAUACCCGAGUAGUC